CCUACGGGAGGCAGCAGUGGGGAAUAUUGGGCAAUGGACGAAACUCUGACCCAGCAACGCCGCGUGAAUGAUGAAGGUCUUCGGAUUGUAAAGUUCUUUUCUAAGGGAAGAAGAAAGUGACGGUACCUUCGGAAUAAGCCUCGGCUAACUACGUGCCAGCAGCCGCGGUAAUACGUAGGAGGCGAGCGUUAUCCGGAAUGACUGGGCGUAAAGGGUGGGUAGGUGGUUUGGCAAGUUAGUAGCGUAACUCCAAGGCUCAACCUUGGAACUACUGCUAAAACUGUUGGACUUGAGUGCAGGAGGGGCAACCGGAAUUCCAAGUGUAGCGGUGAAAUGCGUAGAUAUAAGGAGGAACACCAGAGGCGAAGGCGACCUGCUGGGCUUUUACUGACGCUGAGGCUCGAAAGUGUGGGGAGCAAACAGGAUUAGAUACCCGUGUAGUC
RNAcentral lists this ribosomal RNA (443 nucleotides) under uncultured bacterium. RNAcentral describes it as "partial 16S ribosomal RNA". It matches the Rfam family "Bacterial small subunit ribosomal RNA", at positions 338 to 795 of the family's 1533-position model. The record is from RNAcentral.